AGGGAUGUAGCUCAGUGCUAGAGCAUCUGCUUUGCAUGCAAAAGCUCUCAGGUUCAAUCCCCAUCACUUCUA
Molecule: transfer RNA, 72 nt
Filed under: Podarcis lilfordi (Lilford's wall lizard)
Lineage: Eukaryota; Metazoa; Chordata; Lepidosauria; Squamata; Lacertidae
Rfam family: tRNA
About the family: Transfer RNA (tRNA) molecules are approximately 80 nucleotides in length. Their secondary structure includes four short double-helical elements and three loops (D, anti-codon, and T loops).
Source: Rfam by way of RNAcentral